UACAGAGGGUGCUAGCGUUGUUCGGAAUCAUUGGGCGUAAAGGGCGUGUAGGCGGUUUGUUAAGUCAUGUGUGAAAUCCCUCGGCUCAACCGGGGAACGACGCAUGAAACUGGCAAGCUAGAGUACCAAAGAGGGGGGUGGAAUUCCCAGUGUAGAGGUGAAAUUCGUAGAUAUUGGGAAGAACACCGGUGGCGAAGGCGGCGACCUGGUCCGAUACUGACGCUGAGGCGCGAAAGCGUGGGGAGCAAACAGG
This 253-nucleotide ribosomal RNA is filed under the name uncultured bacterium. Its description in RNAcentral is "partial 16S ribosomal RNA". It matches the Rfam family "Bacterial small subunit ribosomal RNA", at positions 524 to 776 of the family's 1533-position model. The record is from RNAcentral.